RNAcentral lists this ribosomal RNA (256 nucleotides) under uncultured bacterium. RNAcentral describes it as "partial 16S ribosomal RNA". It matches the Rfam family "Bacterial small subunit ribosomal RNA", at positions 83 to 339 of the family's 1533-position model. The record is from RNAcentral.
AUGUAGGCGCGAGUGGCGGACGGGUGAGUAACGCGUGAGUAAUCUGCCUCAUACAGGAGAAUAACACUAAGAAAUUGGUGCUAAUACUCCAUAAGCUCACAUUAUGACAUCAUAGAGAGAGAAAAGAUUUAUCGGUAUGAGAGGAGCUCGCGUCUGAUUAGCUAGUUGGUGGGGUAACGGCCUACCAAGGCAACGAUCAGUAGCCGACCUGAGAGGGUGAUCGGCCACAUUGGAACUGAGACACGGUCCAAACUCC